Molecule: unclassified non-coding RNA, 313 nt
Filed under: plant metagenome
Description: partial contains small subunit ribosomal RNA, internal transcribed spacer 1, and 5.8S ribosomal RNA
Source: RNAcentral
UUUCCGUAGGUGAACCUGCGGAAGGAUCAUUAACGAAUAACUAUGGUGUCUUGGUUGUAGCUGGCUCCUCGGAGCAUUGUGCACGCCCGCCAUUUUUAUCUAUCCACCUGUGCACCGACUGUAGGUCUGGAUGACUCUCGUGCUCUCUGAGUGCGGAUGCGAGGAUUGCCCUUCAACUCGGAGGUGUCUCUCCUCGAAUUUCCAGGCUCUACGUCUUUUUACACACCCCAAAAGCAUGAUAUAGAAUGUAGUCAACGGGCUUGAUCGCCUAUAAAACACUAUACAACUUUCAGCAACGGAUCUCUUGGCUCUC